UGGAACUUCUGGCCCAGAUGUCGACCAACUUGGGGGAAACUUUCCACAGUUAGAAGGAUAUCAUCUUCUUCCUCUGUCACAGCAUUAGGAACCUGCGGUCCCGGGAUGGCCCUGUGAGACAAGAGGGGCAGAGUCACCGAGACCAUGCUGAGAGGCACAAGAUGACUGAGCCCCUCGCCCUCCAGCCCUGCCCAGGACGGGGCUCCUGGGGAACAGCCGCAUCACUCAGCAUCCUCACGGGAAGGAGAGGCGGCAGCGGGAGGUGUGUGUGGUUCCUCACAUCCCCGGCUGAGGCUGCCCCCAGGUAGCCUGGCCACGAGGGCUUCCCAGCCAAGCAUGGGAGGUGCCCGUGGACUCAUACUUCCCUGGGAACAACUGUGUGGGAACGCAGCCUGCUCAGCACCUUGACUCUGGAGCUGGCAGAGUGGCCCUGGGCCUUUGCUCUGCCCCCUGGAGAUUCACAGCCCACACUGAUGCUGGACAGCAGUGGCUGCUCUCCUCAGAGCUGAAUGUGGAUGCUUCCCUUGGAUUGAAGAACCCUCCCAAUGCAGAGCGUGAUGCUCUCGAAGGCUCAGGAUGUGCCACCCAUGAGAUUCUGGCCCACGGCCUUCCUGAUCCAGCCACUGCCCUGAGACAGACGAUGAUGAAAAGGAAACCACGGUUCCGCCAGUGGGAAAUGACCUGCAGAUUCCCAGGCCCUGAGCUUAGGGCGCAGAGAAGCACAGCCCUGGGCCAAAAGACCUGGGUUCCCAGGAUCAGGUCUGGACCCCUGGAUGGACUCGCUGAAGCUGACGUUAGCUGGGGUGCUCUGCUGGGCCCCACAAAGGGCCAUCAGUCCAGAUGGAGAUGCCUCGGGAGGUUUUCCCACCACACAGCUGAAGAAUUUCCAGUUUGCAGAAGGCUAAGGAAGGCACAGGAAGCUCCCUGGCUCCUCCGCCCUGGUGGUAUGAACAGUCACGCUGAUGCACCAUCAUGAACAAAUGAUUGGUAAUUAGACCCACACGGUGCAGAUUUCUCUGGUCUUACCUCUCACACUUUUCCUGUCCCCAGAUCCCUUCUGGGCACCAAGUUGCCUAUAGUUUUGUCUCUGUCCUCCUAAGUUUUGGCCCCCUGGGUGUUAAGUGCUGCCAGUGAGACACCUGCAGGGCAGAUGGGCCUCUCAUCCACCUCUUACUGUGCCAGACCACCCCUGCAGCAUCAGCCUGCCUUGAUAGUGAUAGUGACCAGAUAGCAUGAGGUUUAUCUCAGAGGCUCAGGCAAAGAGGACUUCUAAAGACAAAGAGAGGACAUCCACUUAAGCUGUUUGAAAACAAAGUUCUUGGUUUGGGGCUUGUGGCUUCGGAGGAGGGGCUCUUGUCCAAGCAGCUUAUCUGAAUACUGUGAUUCUAACCCCCUGUGAGAAGAUCUCAGAAAGGCAUUCCUGCGCAACACCUCCCUCCUUACAGACUUCAGACUUUGUGCUUGUGUGUGCAUAUGCAGUGCAGGGGAUGGAGCUCAGGGUCUCAUGCAUACUAGGCACUUGCUCCACCACCUGGCAACUUUCACAGUACCAAGACUGACAACCUGGAAAAAGAACACAAACACAAGGCAGGGCAGGAAGCCAGGGUCCUCUGUAGAGGCCAGGCAGCAGCUUCAGGCAGCACCUCCUGUUUCUCAAGACACCUGCAGAGCAGGGAGACAGGGACGUUGUUCUUCAGCACAGAGACAGGGAUUGGGCUGUGAGUCCUUUUUUGGCCCUGAGAAGUGAACCUACCAGGUUCCAUGCAGCCUCUGUGAAGUCUCUGCUCCUGCCACACGGCCAUGCAGGAGGAACCCAGGCCACCCAGACCUGGCCAAGACUUCAGCUGGGCGGGACGAGCCAACAGCCCAGCAUCAGUGACCAUGAUCGGCCAGCAUGCUCUUCCCCCUUUCCAGCAUUUCUGGGUCCGGGUUCAGCGGUCUUUAGUCUUUGUCCUCGUCCUCCAAGUAGGAGGUCGUGGCAGGGCUGGGAGGGGUGUGGAUACUGUAAGGAAAGUAAGCCUGAGGAAAGAUAGUGUAAGGAAAUGCUGCAGCACACUUAGUGAAUGCUUCUUAGGGCUCAUGUCCGCUGGGGUCUUGGUGCUCCUACUUUUCAAUAUUUAUUUAUUCAUUUCUUUACUUUAGUGAUCUCUUUAUCUGCCCCUGGCCCUACCCAUCUCUAUUUGUGGUACUGGGGUUGAGCCAGGGCCUCCCCACCGAGGGGCAUCCUCAGCCCUUUCCGGGUUUUGGACACUGUCAGCCCGGAAGUGACGUGUUUCUGCCCACCCACUGCGUCGUCCCCCCCCCGCCCCCAGCGCGUGCUGGCACCUGGUGCGCCGCCCACCUGUGGUGCGUGGGGCGGAGGUGCGAAGAGGGCGCGAAGGGCCGCGCUGCAGAGAAGGCCGCCAUGAUGGACGAUGGACGAUGGACGAGAAGGUGUCCAAGCGUUCGCGGAAGGAGGAGGUGAGUGGGGCCCCGGGCUGAUAGCUCCUGCCCGGCCGCCUCGGCCGCCCGCGCCCCGGGAAGCGCACCCUCGCGAGGGCGAGGCGCGCGGUUCGGGCAGAAGGCCGUGAACCCUCGGAGCCUCUGUGAAGAGGGAAGGAGCCCUCGCGGCAUCCCGGAGGAGUGAGCGUCCCGUGGGUUAAUAGCCGAGGAAGCCACUGGAACAGUUGCUGGUGACCCCACUGUCCCCUCUACGUUGGCUUCUCUCCCUCCGCGCUGCAGACCUGCGGGUGGCUCGGUGCUGGCCUAGGGGUUGGGUGUGGUGCUUUCUGUGGCGGCGGCUGCUGCUGCGGGCCUCCCUCACCCGGGGAUCGUGAUGGCCAGCGCUUAUUGGGGGUUUGCAGUGUGCUGGGCUUCCAUCUACACAACAGUGGGAAUUUGGCCGAGUUGCCAUUCCCAUUGGAGAGGGGGAAGGCAGAGACUAACAGGUCACACAGCCAUGAAGUGGCAUGGAGCAGCUGAGUUUUGAUCAAAUGUCCCCAACUCAGAGCUCUUGGCCACAUUCCUUUGCCCACUUUCUUCCUAAGUCACUCAUCUCUCCAUUUCCUUAUUUUUCCAAUGAUGAAGUUGGCCUUUUCCCUUAAACUCACAUUAGACUCUAACCUUGAAAAUUCUUGACCAGUUAAGUGCACAGACUGCAGCCAGAGACUCUGGGUUUGAAUCUCACCUCCACCACAACCAGGUGGAUAAUCUCAGGGGAGCAAGACUUGUUUGCUUGCUGUAUGGCAGAAGUCAGUUCAUCUGUGUGACAUCCUUACAACAGUGCUCGGCGUAAAGAAGGCACUCAGCAACUCAAGUUGAACUGUCAUUUGUAGUUAUCUUCACAACUCCAGUAGUUCCUAGUACUUGGAUGAUUGUAACAGUGGCUUCCCUGAAGAGAGAGAGCUCGUGUGGCCUGAGACCUGCUCACUAUCUUGAUUCAUUCUCAGAACAAACCUUUAGGUUCACUGGUGGUCUGAUUAGGCAAGCCCCAAGAUGAUGAUAUCCUUUUCUCAGAGUCAGCUGUGUUGCAUAGCACAGCCUGAUCACGGGAGGGAUAGCUCAUCAUUUCACAACCCUGGCAAUUAUUGGAAGGAGAAGAAUCUUGGAAACACCUGGGACUUUUGCUGCCAAAGAAUCACCUGCUUGACAGUUUUACAUGAGGCAAUUUUGUUAGAGUGUGUAGACUGGUUUUAGAGUAAGCUCUAGAACAGCCUGCUGAUCUUGAACCUGGUGUUUUUGUGUUGUUUUCAGGUGGCUCCAAUUUGAAUGUGUUGUGUUUCUGCCAGCUUCAACCACCAGUGAUAUAUACAUAACUGUCCUAUUGGGCAGCUUAUACCAUUUUAUUAUUAAAAAGAUUGAUAGACCACUCCUAGGGCAGAGGAGGUGAGCCAGUCCCAGCGCCCAGAAGGAGGCUCCCCUGCUGCCAUUCCACCACUCCUAGGGCAGAGGAGGUGAGCCGCAGGGGUGCCAGCAGCAAACCCCCUCUCCCCCGUGGAAAUGAGAAGACAUGUAAACAAGCCUCAAAAACAGACUUCCGGAUCACCUACAGCAACCGCAAAGGGAAACAAGAUGGAACAAUCUGAUGCUCAACCACAUGGACUCCCUGAACUGGCAACAAA
This is a non-coding RNA of Heterocephalus glaber (naked mole-rat), 4100 nucleotides long. The record is from RefSeq and is a predicted model, not a curated record. Lineage: Eukaryota; Metazoa; Chordata; Mammalia; Rodentia; Bathyergidae.